Molecule: long non-coding RNA, 416 nt
Organism: Onthophagus taurus
Lineage: Eukaryota; Metazoa; Arthropoda; Insecta; Coleoptera; Scarabaeidae
Source: RefSeq, a predicted model, not a curated record
GGUUUCUAUUGAUAUCAUCUGUCAGUUAUCAAAAUGUCGAACUGACCUGCCACUAAAAUGGAAGAAGGCCUCUUUACAAUAAAAAACUGGAUAGUAUUCCUGUUAGCAUACUUAUUAACAUUAUCAACGCUUUUUUUCCUGUCAUGCGUGUACGAUGUCGUGAAAUUCGUUUCCCCACACUUCAGAUCGGUGGUUGGAAUGUUAAGCAAACGUCACUCAAAUACGCGUCAGAAGCCUAAAAAAGAAGAAGAAGUUCUAACUACCAGAAGUCAAUGCUCAAGUAUUAAACCUCCUCAAGUUCCUCAAUCUGUAAAGAAGACUAUUAAUAAAAACCAAAUUCAUCUUGUACACAAAAACUCAAGAGUGUCGUUAAUGUAACAUAAACUGGGCAUAUUUAAAUAAAAAUAUAAAUUCUC